GUGGCCAGCGGGCUGGUUUAAAGAGCUGUUUUAGUUCCAUGGAAACAGAUCUGCUGGUCGCGCGACGGGAGCUGUUUUAGUUCCACGGAAACAGAUUUGCUGGGCGCGCGACGGAGCUACAGGCUUGUGGAUGGCUUAGGGGUGAGGCUGCCGGGCCCGGAAGCUGAGGUGGGCGGCUCAGGGAAGAGACCACUCGUCAGAACAAGGUCACUCCCAGGCCGAGUCCAGGCCCGCCCUCCAGACCUUAAGAGCCUCGGUUUACCUUGCCUCACUCUGCCUGGCUGUGAAAACCACCUCGAGCUAAGUUGGCUUUGCUCGGACCACAGCUGCAGGACGGUGGCCAGUCUCUGAGACCUGUGCUUGAGCCACCGUUCGUUCCCCCUUUAGGUACGGUUAGUUGGACGUUCCUGGGAAGGCCUUUUCAACAUUAAGGUUUGGAUUUCUGCCACUGGUUAUCGUCCCUGGCUCGCUUCCUAGACAAGAGGCGUUUUCAUUUGUGCAUUGUUUCGUUCUUGUUCUGGAAUAGAUCUUUGUGAAAUAUUUACUGUCAUGUUUGGCACCCACAACAUCCAAGGUACAAUGCUAGGCUCAAGAACAACAGCAACAAAGGACUGUAACCCUACUUGAAGACUUACUGGUCAACGUGGGAUACACACACACAGAGAGAGAGAGAGAGAGAGAGACUCUUGGGUUCCUGUGGACUCCCCCAGGGAAAAGGAAUGACAGGCGGGGAGGAGGAUGAUAAAGAACCGUUUUAACCAGCUGCUUUUCAGGCAUUAUUUGGGACAUAACACGUAACUCUUAGCUUCAUCUGAUAAAAGUGCAUGCUCCGUGGUCAGGAAGAUCCUUUCUGAUGCCGACAGCAGAUGUCUCCCGUAUCUGGAGACCCUUUUGAGACAUGAAUAUAAAUGUGUCAUGGCAUAAGCUUAAAUGUCAGUAAUCCCUUUGCAAAUGACUUGGUCAAUGGUUUGAUGAGAACAUCAGGAACUUCACCUGCGCAGACUCGGUGGAGAGGCAGUGCUUAGGGGGAAAUUCUAUUUUACAUCAAGAAGAGAAAAACCUGAAGCCAGAAAGGAUAACCUCAAAUGGGAGGAACCUGAGGUGUAGUCCAGUAGGGUGCCUGCCACGCCCGUUUGGUGGCAUGUGCCUGUAAUUCCAGCUUUGGGAGGUGGAGGCUUGAUCAGAAGCUCAGAGUCGUCCUCAGUGCACAAUGACCUGUCUGUUGGAGAAAGUGGGAUAUUAAAAUCACCUACUAUUAAUCACGUUAAUCAGUGUCUUUAAAUCCAGAAGUGGAUUUUUAAAAAAUGAAUUUAGACACCCUGGAAUUCAAUGUAUAUAUGUUUAGGAAGUAUCUUCUUGGUUAACUCUUCCCUUGAUUAGAAUGAAGUGCAUAUGGAAACUACAGUGUGCAGACCAGUCCUGUCUCCAACGCACAUCAACGCAGCAGCUUCUGAAACGUUCACAGUACUUCAGCAGAAGAUGAGAAUAGCUGAGCAGCAGACCAGCUCUCUGAGAGAUGACCUAAUAAUGCUAAGCUGUGGUGACAAACGGUAACUGGAUUGCCGCAGCUGCAGAAUUUUAACUUGACGCUUAGUAAAAAGCAGAUGAGAUAGAUACUUCUGGAAAAUGUUUCCAUACGAACUUUGACACAAGCCUAUUUUUAGCUAGAGUUGUGGUUCUGUGAUAGUAUGUGUCUUAGUUACUUCUGCUGUGAUGAAACACUGUGACCAAGGCAACUUAUAGAAGAAAGGGCUCAUUUGAGGUUUACUGUUCUAAGAGAUGAUUUCAUGGUGGACUGCAGAUUAAAGGCAAGAGGGUACCUGGAGCAGCAGCUGGGAGCUCACAUCUUGAGUGGCAAUCAAGAAACAGAGAAGAUACUGGAAAUGGCAGAGUCUUUUGAAACUUUAAAGCCCUCCCUCAGUGACAUACUUUCUUCAACAAGCGCACACCUCCUAACCUUCACAAACAGGGCUAGCAACUUGGGGAUUAACUAUUCAAACCACCAUAUGUUAGCCAGAUUUUUGUUGCUACAGCGGAAAUACCCUUGAGGACAUCUUAAGGGAGGAAGGACUUAUUUUCAGAUCAGCAUUUCAGAAGGUUGGGGUCUUGGUUUCUUGGCCUGUCACUGUGGGCCUGAGGCGAGGCAGAGCAUCAUGGCAGAUAAGACGUAGAUUUCCUUUAGCAGUGCCCCAGCUUUAUGGCUUCUCCAGGCUCACUCAUCUAGGUUCCCUCUGCUCUGUCACCUUAACUCCGUGCUGGAUAGAGUGGCUGCGCACUAUGCCUUCAGCAUUUGACCCCUUGACAAGCACUUUAUGUACAAACCAUAACAUAGAGCAAU
Meriones unguiculatus (Mongolian gerbil) is the source of this 2338-nucleotide long non-coding RNA. RefSeq lists it as uncharacterized. The record is from RefSeq and is a predicted model, not a curated record. NCBI's taxonomy places the organism in Eukaryota, Metazoa, Chordata, Mammalia, Rodentia, Muridae. The transcript is spliced from 3 exons.